AUUCUUCGUAAGAGCGCUGAAAAAGAAAGAGGCUCUUCCCGCCUUCUCGGCUUAUCAGGCUCCGGCUCUGUUCAUCUCUCCUUUUCACUUCUCCACUGAAAGGAAAAAGGGGCAGACAAAAUUUCUAAUCCCUAAUCUCCAUGCUUCUCCUGUAGAAUCCACCGUCUUCCCGUCGCCUCUCCCCGCUGCGCUUCUUGUUUGAGCAGAGAGCUGUUAAGGAAAGUAUAUAUGGGCGCAUUUUGCAAUGACGACCUCUCUUUCCCACCGCUGUACAGCUUCGCUUCCUCCCAGGAUUUGAGAUUUUCGAAACACGUUCACGAUAAUGUUCACGGCAACAUCUAUCUCGAUCCGCUCUUUCUGAAGUUUGUAGAUACCGAGCAGUUCCAAAGGCUUCGGGACUUGAAACAACUGGGUAUAGCACACUUGGUUUAUCCAGGAGCUGUGCAUUCUAGGUUUGAGCAUUCCCUUGGGGUGUAUUGGCUAGCUGGUGAAGCAGUUCACAAACUCAAGGGACAGCAUGGCUUGGAGCUUGCUAUUGAUCGUUUUGAUGUUAAAUCAGUGAAACUUGCAGGACUUUUGCAUGAUGUGGGACAUGGGCCUUUCAGUCAUUUGUUUGAACGAGACUUUCUAUGUCGGGUUCUCAAUGGCUUUGAAUGGUCUCAUGAGCAAAUGUCAACAAAGAUGGUUGACCAUAUUGUCGAUGAGCACCAUAUUGAAAUUGACUCUGAAAUCAUUAAGAGAGUUAAGGAAAUGAUAAUUGCGAGCUGCGAAAUUGCACGGCCAAAAAGCACAAGAGAAAAGUAUUUUCUGUAUGAUAUUGUUGCAAAUGGUCGAAAUGGGAUUGAUGUUGACAAGUUCGAUUACAUCACUCGUGAUUGCCGAGCUUGUGGCCUAGGUUGCAACUUCCAGUUCCAAAGGUUAAUGGAGACAAUGCGGGUUUUGGACAAUGAGAUAUGCUAUCCAGCUAAGGAUUAUCUUACUGUAUACAAGUUGUUUGCCACUCGUGCUGAUCUGCAUCGAACCGUCUACACGCAUGCAAAAGUAAAGGCUAUAGAACUCAUGGUUGUAGAUGCCUUGUGUAAAGCAAAUGAUUAUCUACAAAUUUCAUCUCACAUUCACGAUCCUUCUGAAUAUUGGAAGUUGGAUGAUUCAAUAUUAAAAGCAAUUGAGACAGCUCAGGACCCAGAACUAAAGGAAUCUAGGGACCUGAUACGUCGCAUUCGCAGGAGGGAUUUGUACCAGUUUUGUAAUGAGCUUACUGUUCCGAAGGACAAUCUGGAAUAUUUCAAAGAUGUCACUCCGAAAGAUAUCAUUUGUUCACAGAAAACUGGUCGGGUGAUGUUAAGAGAAGAGGAUGUUGCUGUUACCAAUGUCAGGGUUGAUUUGACUCGUGGAAGGCAUAAUCCUCUUGAAAGCGUCAAUUUUUUCAAGGACUAUGAGACAGAUGAGAAGUUUUCCAUACCUGAUGAUCGCAUAAGUCACUUGCUGCCCUCUUCCUACCAAGAUAUGAUUGUGCGAGUUUAUUCCAAAAAGCCUGAACUGGUAGGAGCAGUUUCUGAGGCUUUUGAAAAUUUUCAGUUGAAAACAUAUGGAGUCAAAGCACAGGUGCAUGCUACCCCAGAGAAGAAAAAGCGACGAAUGUGAGGCUGCAGAUGCAGAUGUUGCGUCUCUAUCUGAUCAAAACAAGAUUAUUUCAGUUACAACAAGAGGAAUUUAUACAAUUGUGAAGUUUCUACAUUAUUUUUGCAACUAAGCUAGACCUUCCGGUGAUCGAGCUUAGCAAGCUCCAGGGUAGGGUGAUAGUAUAGCGUAGGGUGAAUGACUGUAGAACUCAAAAGUAUUAUGUUAUGUUUUAAUUUUCCGGUUAUGUAAUGUGGACGUGUGGAUAUACUUUAUGGUUGUAAAAGUUAGUACUCUGGUAUUUUAAAUUGAGGAUAAUUAAUUAUUUUCAUUGCGUGCAUGGUAAUUGUGGUAUCAGAGAUAUAUGCAUGAACCAUAACACUCUGGACCUCACUCCCGGGUUCGGGACGUUAUAGUUUAUAACCCUAUAAUUUCCAUUUAGAGUCGUGCAUAUGCCCUAUUAACUAUAAGGCAACUAAUAGUCUUUCUAUUGAAUUAAGCCUAACCUUUUGCCAUGUUUUCAUGUUCUUUUACUACCCAUCAAA
This is an RNA transcript of Malania oleifera, 2165 nucleotides long. RefSeq lists it as uncharacterized. NCBI's taxonomy places the organism in Eukaryota, Viridiplantae, Streptophyta, Magnoliopsida, Santalales, Ximeniaceae. The transcript is spliced from 20 exons. The record is from RefSeq and is a predicted model, not a curated record.